CAAUAGCGUAUAUUAAAGUUGUUGCAGUUAAAAAGCUCGUAGUUGGACCUUGGACCUGGACAGGCGGUCCGCCUCACGGCGUGUACUGUCUUGCUGGGUCUUUCCUCUUGGUGAUCUGUUGUUUCGGCAGCAGGGAACCAGGACUUUUACUUUGAAAAAAUUAGAGUGUUCAAAGCAGGCUCGACGCCGGAAUAUAUUAGCAUGGAAUAAUAAAAUAGGACGUGCGGUUCUAUUUUGUUGGUUUUUGGAAUCGCCGUAAUGAUUAAUAGGGACAGUCGGGGGCAUUAGUACUCACAUGCUAGAGGUGAAAUUCUUGGAUUUUGUGAAGACUAACUUCUGCGAAAGCAUUUGCCAAGGAUGUUUCCAUUAA
Molecule: ribosomal RNA, 370 nt
Filed under: uncultured eukaryote
Lineage: Eukaryota
Description: partial 18S ribosomal RNA
Rfam family: Eukaryotic small subunit ribosomal RNA
Source: RNAcentral